Molecule: non-coding RNA, 131 nt
Filed under: Palpitomonas bilix
Lineage: Eukaryota
Source: RNAcentral
CUCUUUCCUCCCUCCCUCCCUCUCUCUCUCCCCCCCCCCUCCUUGCCCCUUCCUCUUCUCUCUUAUUGCUUUGCAUGUUGCUCCUCGUUUAUUCAGUCUUUCGCCACCUUAUUUCCCCAUCUGUCUCUCUA